UACGUAGGGGGCAAGCGUUGUCCGGAUUUAUUGGGCGUAAAGCGCACGCAGGCGGUCUGACAAGUCCGAAGUGACAGUCAUUGGCUUAACCAAUGAAGGCCUUCGGAAACUGACAGACUUGAGAGCAAUAGAGGGACACGGAAUUCCGGGUGGAGUGGUGAAAUGCGUAGAUAUCCGGAGGAACACCAAAGGCGAAGGCAGUGUCCUGGAUUGUAUCUGACGCUCAGGUGCGAAAGCUAGGGGAGCGAACGGG
Molecule: ribosomal RNA, 253 nt
Filed under: uncultured prokaryote
Also listed under: 1 other name
Description: partial 16S ribosomal RNA
Rfam family: Bacterial small subunit ribosomal RNA
Source: RNAcentral